UUUUGGGCUGCAAGGAGGCAGUUAGCACAGGGAACUAUGUAGUGAGGGACAUGGAGACUAAACAGCAGCUGGCCCAUCUCUCUGGUUUCUCAUGGCCAAGCCUGGGACACACAGCUGCCCUCGUGCAGGUCCAGAACUAUGGCACUUGUUCCCUCAGGACCCAUCCUCAAAGCCAGUGACUUGGUCUUUUCCUAUGACAAAGGAGCUCCCAGAAUGUGGCAGUCCCCCUUCCUAGAGGGAGAAUCUGACUGGGUCAGGGAGGCACCUCCGGUUUGCAGAGCCCCCAUUGGUCAGGUUCAGUUUCCAAAACACCUGAGGGGCAAGUGGCUUCUCGAAGUCCAGCCCACAUGGUUACUUUUGACUUGGACACUCAAGGCACAGGGACACAUGACACAGGCACAGGGUGUGACAACUGCAUGCAGAAAGAGCCACUCUCAUUCCUCAGAAGAGGCUGUGGAGAUGAGUGGCUGAGCCAUGUGCCCCAAAAUUCAUGUUGAAGUCCUAACCCCCAGUAUCUUAAAAUGUGACCGUAUUUAGAGAUAGAACCUUUAAAGAGCUAACUGGGUUAAAAUGAAUUCAUUAGGGUAGGCCGUACUUCAGUAUGACUGCUGUCUUUAGCAGAAGAAGAAAUCAGGGUACAGACACGCAGAGGGGAGGGCAUGUGAGGACAUGGGAAGGAAAUGCCACUUGCAAGCCAAUGAGAGAGGCCUCAGAAGAAACCAGCCCUCCUGACACCUUGAUCCUAGACUUCCAGCCUCCAGAACUGUAAGAAAAUACAUUUCUGUUGUUUAAGCCACAUGGUCUUAGAGUUCUAUCUUGAAUUUCUCUCUGCUUCAGACUUUUCUGUUUUGUUUUUUAGCCUAAAUCCUAUUGAAAAGAGCAGAGAAGAUAGAGUGCAGGCCCCUAGAGACAGGAUGGAACGAAACACGCAGUGUGUGUCUGUGUCCUGCUCAGCAUACGCUCUUGGUCCCCACUGGGCCAUCUCGCUGCUGACUGGCAUCCCGAAGAACAGGCAGAUUGCACAGGGGCAGCUCUUUCCUCCAAAGCUGCAAUGUGAUGCAUGAAGUCCUCAGAUUUGGGAACUCAUACAGGCACUUGAGCUCAAACAUACAGUUCUGAUCUAAGACAUCACAGGUAAGAAUAUCCAAAAAGGUGAGCUUUCCCCCUGGAAACCAUGACUUCCUCAGAAACAAGGAGAAAUGUUUCAGCUGCCCAGGUUGCAGUUCCGAGUAUGGAGGCUUCCAUGUUUCAUGUCAGGGUCAUGGUGGAGCUGUUUCAGCUGCAGGUGGUAUUCCACCAUUUGGUCCUCCCUGAUGUCUCCUGGCACCUUUCCUUCUUCAGUCUCACCACUCUGAAGAAGCGUGCUUGUAAGCGCCGCGGGACGAUCCAGGACGUCCAGGAUUGUGGACGAUCCUGUUCUUCCCAUCUGUGAGGUAAGGCAGAUUAGGAAUGUCCACAUCUAGCUUGAAUUUCACAUCCAGCCAUUGGCUGCCACCAUGGCCAAGGGCUCCUGCAGAUGGAUCACCGUUUCCCUCCCAGGAGCAGGCAGGUGUCCAGUAUCAGCCCCAGAACAUCCCGGUCACCCAUCUCCAUAGGGCUUGGAUGACAUGAUGAUGCUCUCUGUGCCUCUGAGGAUGGCACCUUGGGUCUUUGUACGCUAAAUCCCACCUUGUCCUCUCCUCUAUUUGAAACAGCCAUUUCCCAAAUCCCAAUCUGAUGAAAUCCUGUUCCUCCUUCCCUCAUGUUUCUCUAGGCCUCCUGUGGACUCCCAGAAUGUAAAGUCAGCAUUCCCUUGAGCCUUUUGGGGACUUAAAAGCACAUGGCCCAAGGUCCACCUAACUCCAGGUGUAUCCUGUAGAACCAGUAUUCUAAUCCUAAUUUUAAAGAUCUUACAGGACCACAGGGUGUGCGUAAAAAGCCUGCUGCAAAUCAGAGUGCUUCAAUUGAGUAUUAAUGAGAUGGAGGAAAGAGGCUGUGAGUGCAGACAAUGAGUCCCUGAGUAAAUAGACUCCAGAGCCAAAGGUGUUCUCCACACCAAAAGAAUGACUGUACCCAGGGAAGGAGCUCACACUCACCUGGACAAACCCUGAGGGGACAGCCAUGUCCCAGUGUGGCUAGGAGGGUCUGGAGCUGGGCACGUCCCCCAUGUCUGCUUGAUUCCCCUCCGGCCGAGUUCUACUCAGGUGAGUUGUGCUCAUUCUUGCUUCCCCAGGGCCUGGAUCACAGUUCCUCAAGCUUUGGGAUACAAACGAAUCACCUGGGAUUUGGAUAAAAUGCAGAUUCGUGUUCAGCAGCCCUGGCAUUCUGCAUUUCUCAUGAGCUCCAGGAAGAUGCUGGCGCUGCUGGGGCAGGACCACACUUUGGGUGGCAAGGGCUUGGCAGGCAAUUCCAGGUGUCACCCUAGAGAUGGCCUGCUAUUGCACUGUCAGUAGGUAGCUGCCACAGUGACGGCCGCUCCAGAUCAAGGGGAGAACCUUUUGAAAAGGGUCCUUGAAUCAUUUGGGAAAUAAAUCAAGCCAUAUGAGUAAAAAGCCAUAUGAGUAAAAAGUAAUCAAAAAUAUGUUGAAUAUUGGAACCAGAGGAAAUCUUAGCAUCAUUUUGUAAUGACUCCCUCCACGAAUUUUCCAGAUAAGGAAACUGACAAAGCCAGGUGGCCUGUGGCUGAGGAGCGAGACGGUCAGCGAGGUCUCCCUGCUGCACUCCCGUGCACUUCCACAGUGAAACCCUGCUGAGAGACACAGGAAAUGUUGAACAUAGUAUCUUUAAAAUUAAGACCAUGACUGCCCUAAACAUUUACAAAGCACAAACCAUGAGAAAAAAGCCUGUACCAGAAAUCAGAAGAUGGCUUUUGUCCAUGUGCAACCUUGGACAAGUUAAUUACUUAUCGCUGCUCUCUGAGCCUGUUUCCCCACUGGUUACCGAAAAAAUAGAAAAGGAUAUGCCUGCCCUUCCUAAUUCACAGGGCAUCGCAGGGAGGUAGGUAGUUAAUAUGCUGAACCACUUCAAAACGGUGGAGCUGAACUCACAGCAGGAACCCUGUCACACCUUUCCAUGACAAGGAUAUCGGUGGGGUGAGGGAGGUGGGGAGAGGCAUGAGGAUGGGAGACAAAGGAGUGGGGUGGGGGGCGGGGGAAGGAGGAAGCCAGAAGGACAGGCCCAGGCUAGGCUCUGAAGUCAGCAGGUGAGCGAGGUAGAGAACUAGCAGCACACUGUCCAUGGAUAUUUGCGGUGAUGGAAAGGUACUGUAUCCAUGUUCUCCAAUAUGGCAGCCACUAGCCACAUGUGGCUAUCAAGCACUGGAAAUGUAGCUAGUGUGAUCGAGGAACUGAUCUUUAAUUUUUCUUUAGUUGUUAUUAAUUUCCGUUUAAAUAGCCACAUGUGGCCAGUGGCUUAUGUAGCAAAGAUCUAGAUCAUUUGUUUGAAGCAGUAAAAAGAGAAAUGUGAAUCCCCUCUUCUUACCUCCUAUAACAUGCUAAUUAACAUCACUGCAAUUAACUACCAUUCACAGCUCUUCAGCUGCUCUGUGGAACCUCAGCCCACUCUGAAAUGAACAGCCGCAGUGGCAGGGGUUACAGAAUGGGCUGGGAGUGGCAAUGUAGAUUCAUCUCUUCACACACUCUAUGCCCUCAAUCAAAAAUGCCUCAGGCUGUGUAAAAUUCCACAAAUAAUAAAGAGAUUUUAAAAAUAUG
RNAcentral lists this long non-coding RNA (3689 nucleotides) under Pan troglodytes (chimpanzee). Its description in RNAcentral is "lincRNA". Lineage: Eukaryota; Metazoa; Chordata; Mammalia; Primates; Hominidae. The record is from RNAcentral.